RNAcentral lists this ribosomal RNA (414 nucleotides) under uncultured microorganism. RNAcentral's name for it is "bacterial SSU rRNA". It matches the Rfam family "Archaeal small subunit ribosomal RNA", at positions 459 to 872 of the family's 1478-position model. The record is from RNAcentral.
CAGCCGCCGCGUUAAUACCGGCGGCCCGAGUGGCGGUCACUAUUAUUGGGCUUAAAGCGUCCGUAGCCGGGUUGGGAAGUCCUCCGGGAAAUCUGGCCGCUUAACGGUCAGAAUGCCGGAGGAUACUCCCAGCCUAGGGAGCGGGAGAGGCCGAGGGGAUUCCCGGAGGAGGGGGGAAAUCCUAUAAUCCCGGGAGGACCACCUGUGGCGAAGGCGCUCGGCUGGAACGCGUCCGACGGUGAGGGACGAAGGCCAGGGGAGCAAACCGGAUUAGAUACCCGGGUAGUCCUGGCUGUAAACGAUGCGGACUUUGUGUCGGACAAGCUAUGAGCUUGUCCGGUGCCGGAGGGAAACCGUUAAGUCCGCCGCCUGGGGAGUACGGCCGCAAGGCUGAAACUUAAAGGAAUUGGCGGG